RNAcentral lists this ribosomal RNA (507 nucleotides) under Aeromonas hydrophila. RNAcentral describes it as "bacterial SSU rRNA". It matches the Rfam family "Bacterial small subunit ribosomal RNA", at positions 45 to 541 of the family's 1533-position model. Lineage: Bacteria; Pseudomonadati; Pseudomonadota; Gammaproteobacteria; Aeromonadales; Aeromonadaceae. The record is from RNAcentral.
GGCUACACAUGCAAGUCGAGCGGCAGCGGGAAAGUAGCUUGCUACUUUUGCCGGCGAGCGGCGGACGGGUGAGUAAUGCCUGGGAAAUUGCCCAGUCGAGGGGGAUAACAUUUGGAAACGACUGCUAAUACCGCAUACGCCCUACGGGGGAAAGCAGGGGACCUUCGGGCCUUGCGCGAUUGGAUGUGCCCAGGUGGGAUUAUCUAGUUGGUGAGGUAAUGGCUCACCAAGGCGACUAUCCCUAGCUGGUCUGACAGGAUGAUCACCCACACUGGAACUGAGAAACGGUCCCGACUCCUACGGGAGGGCUCAGUGGGGAAUAUUGCACAAUGGGGGAAACCCAGAUGCAGCCAUGCCGCGUGUGUGAAGAAGGCCUUCGGGUUGUAAAGCACUUUCAGCGAGGAGGAAAGGUUGAUGCCUAAUACGUAUCAACUGUGACGUUACUCGCAGAAGAAGCACCGGCUAACUCCGUGCCAGCAGCCGCGGUAAUACGGAGGGUGCAAGCGU